RNAcentral lists this ribosomal RNA (517 nucleotides) under Mycobacterium nonchromogenicum. Its description in RNAcentral is "Mycolicibacter nonchromogenicus bacterial SSU rRNA". It matches the Rfam family "Bacterial small subunit ribosomal RNA", at positions 1 to 522 of the family's 1533-position model. Lineage: Bacteria; Bacillati; Actinomycetota; Actinomycetes; Mycobacteriales; Mycobacteriaceae. The record is from RNAcentral.
UGGAGAGGUUUGAUCCUGGCUCAGGACGAACGCUGGCGGCGUGCUUAACACAUGCAAGUCGAACGGAAAGGCCCCUUCGGGGGUACUCGAGUGGCGAACGGGUGAGUAACACGUGGGUGAUCUGCCCUGCACUUUGGGAUAAGCCUGGGAAACUGGGUCUAAUACCGAAUAGGACCGCAUGCUUCAUGGUGUGUGGUGGAAAGCUUUUGCGGUGUGGGAUGGGCCCGCGGCCUAUCAGCUUGUUGGUGGGGUAAUGGCCUACCAAGGCGACGACGGGUAGCCGGCCUGAGAGGGUGUCCGGCCACACUGGGACUGAGAUACGGCCCAGACUCCUACGGGAGGCAGCAGUGGGGAAUAUUGCACAAUGGGCGCAAGCCUGAUGCAGCGACGCCGCGUGGGGGAUGACGGCCUUCGGGUUGUAAACCUCUUUCAGUAUCGGCGAAGCUCCAGGAUUUUUCUUGGGGUGACGGUAGGUACAGAAGAAGCACCGGCCAACUACGUGCCAGCAGCCGCGGUA